AUACGGAGGAUCCGAGCGUUAUCCGGAUUUAUUGGGUUUAAAGGGUGCGCAGGCGGCCAUUUAAGUCAGCGGUUAAAUCGUGGGGCUCAACCCCAUUCUGCCGUUGAUACUGGGUGGCUUGAUUGCGGUCGAGGUUGGCGGAAUUCGUUGUGUAGCGGUGAAAUGCAUAGAUAUGACGAAGAACACCGAUUGCGUAGGCAGCUGACCAGACCGCAAAUGACGCUCAUGCACGAAAGUGCGGGGAUCGAACAGGAUUAGAUACCCUGGUAGUCCGCACAGUAAACGAUGAAUACUUGUUUUCGGCGAUAUAAUGUCGGAGGCAAAGCGAAAGCGAUAAGUAUUCCACCUGGGGAGUACGCCGGCAACGGUGAAACUCAAAUGAAUUGGCGGU
This 391-nucleotide ribosomal RNA is filed under the name uncultured bacterium. RNAcentral's name for it is "partial 16S ribosomal RNA". It matches the Rfam family "Bacterial small subunit ribosomal RNA", at positions 523 to 917 of the family's 1533-position model. The record is from RNAcentral.